Mauremys mutica (yellowpond turtle) is the source of this 547-nucleotide long non-coding RNA. RefSeq lists it as uncharacterized. The record is from RefSeq and is a predicted model, not a curated record. NCBI's taxonomy places the organism in Eukaryota, Metazoa, Chordata, Testudines, Geoemydidae. The transcript is spliced from 3 exons.
GGGAGGGACCAGAAACUCACCUCUGUUGGACCGGGUCAUGUGGUUGCUGGGAACUGAAAGAGACCAGAGAGAAGGAGACCUCCAGCUGCCACGGGAGCAGAGCACAGUGGAUUGGAAACGGCACGGUCCCAUUCGAUCUUCAAGGCUCAGUUUUCCCUCUGCUCCGGCAGUGCCGAGACUGGUCCCAGCUCUUGUUAUUUACUCCACCCACAUGCCCACCCAUGCCAGGCAUGCCGCCCUGGCAGUUAGCCCAGUUCCUCCUCCCGCCCGCGCUGGUCUGUGUGCUGCUUCUCCGAGGUGCCCUGGAUGCCUGAGGAGGGUAACUCAAGCCUCCCCAGAGUCAACAUGGGAACAAGCCAUUUCGAUGGACCUGAAACAAAUACGAUCAACGACGUUUCCAAACGAAAUGAAAAAACCAAACGAAGAACUUCCCUCCGAAAUCUCGCUACGUGGCAGAUUCUGAGCUUCUUUUGCUGCUUUUUGAUGUGCCGUUCAAACCAAAACGUUAUGGAAAUGGGGACACCCCAUGGUCGGCUGCAACAAAAUG